UACGAAGGGGGGCUAGCGUUGCUCGGAAUCACUGGGCGUAAAGCGCACGUAGGCGGACUCUUAAGUCAGGGGUGAAAUCCUGGAGCUCAACUCCAGAACUGCCUUUGAUACUGAGAGCCUUGAGUCCGGAAGAGGUAAGUGGAACUGCGAGUGUAGAGGUGAAAUUCGUAGAUAUUCGCAAGAACACCAGUGGCGAAGGCGGCUUACUGGUCCGGUACUGACGCUGAGGUGCGAAAGCGUGGGGAGCAAACAGG
Molecule: ribosomal RNA, 254 nt
Filed under: uncultured bacterium
Lineage: Bacteria
Description: partial 16S ribosomal RNA
Rfam family: Bacterial small subunit ribosomal RNA
Source: RNAcentral